Hibiscus syriacus is the source of this 618-nucleotide long non-coding RNA. RefSeq lists it as uncharacterized. NCBI's taxonomy places the organism in Eukaryota, Viridiplantae, Streptophyta, Magnoliopsida, Malvales, Malvaceae. The record is from RefSeq and is a predicted model, not a curated record. The transcript is spliced from 3 exons.
GGAAGGUUUAACAAAUAGAAUAACGAAGACUGUAACUAUUGCGGAGUUAAUUAAGAGAAGAAUUGUCGGUCUUCAUCAGAUUACAUCUAUUGGAUCCACGGAUAUAACAGAUAUGUGGGAACCUCUUGAAGAAGGAAUUCUUCCAUUGGAGACCACUAGGCAUGUGUCCAUGAUCACUAUAACCCUUUCAAAGAUUGAAUUGAAUACAUCGUCUAUCGGGUAAGUUCCUACAUUUAUUUCCCUUUACUGCGUUGUACUUUACUAUGCUCGGUGCUUUCAGUUUUAGUGAAUUUUAAAUAUUAAGCGUCAUUUGUGUUCCUUUUUUAGUUAAUAUGAAACUAGUUGGCUAUAGUUCAUUACAAAUAAUCUUGUUUACUUUCACCUUUAUGAAUUUUGGGGCCUAGAAAAUUUUAGCGUACAGAAAGGGUUUGUGGCUUUAGGUUCUUCUUAUGGUGGUGGCAUGAAGAUAGAUGAUUAGAAGAACAUGUGUAGUCAUUUUGAAAGUGACAAAUCUCAGGUAAAAUGCUUUUUAUGUUGAUUAAUUAUGUAUUAUUUAUGAAAUAAAAUAAACAAAAAGGUAUUAUAUAUGCAGUGUCAAAGUAAAGCAAAUAAGAACAA